AGGGCCUGACUGGUUUAAACGCAG
RNAcentral lists this non-coding RNA (24 nucleotides) under Arabidopsis thaliana (thale cress). Lineage: Eukaryota; Viridiplantae; Streptophyta; Magnoliopsida; Brassicales; Brassicaceae. The record is from RNAcentral.